UACGUAGGGUGCAAGCGUUAAUCGGAAUUACUGGGCGUAAAGCGCACGUAGGCGGAUCUUUAAGUCAGGGGUGAAAUCCUGGAGCUCAACUCCAGAACUGCCUUUGAUACUGAGGACCUUGAGUUCGGGAGAGGUGAGUGGAACUGCGAGUGUAGAGGUGAAAUUCGUAGAUAUUCGCAAGAACACCAGUGGCGAAGGCGGCUCACUGGCCCGAUACUGACGCUGAGGUGCGAAAGCGUGGGGAGCAAACAGG
Molecule: ribosomal RNA, 253 nt
Filed under: uncultured bacterium
Lineage: Bacteria
Description: partial 16S ribosomal RNA
Rfam family: Bacterial small subunit ribosomal RNA
Source: RNAcentral